This 696-nucleotide ribosomal RNA is filed under the name Triticum aestivum (bread wheat). Its description in RNAcentral is "partial small subunit ribosomal RNA". The record is from RNAcentral. Lineage: Eukaryota; Viridiplantae; Streptophyta; Magnoliopsida; Poales; Poaceae.
AUGUGGGAGGAAUGCUUGCCUCAUAUUGAAUUUGCUUAUAAUCGUUCAUUGCAUUCUACUACUAAGAUGUGCCCUUUUGAAGUUGUGUAUGGUUUCCUACCUCGUGCACCUAUUGAUUUGUUGCCUCUUCCAUCUUCGGAGAAGGUUAAUUUUGAUGCUAAACAACGUGCUGAAUUGAUUUUAAAAAUGCAUGAGUUAACUAAGGAAAACAUUGAGCGUAUGAAUGCUAAAUGUAAACUUGCUGGAGAUAAGGGUAGAAAACAUGUUGUGUUUGCACCUGGAGAUCUUGUUUGGUUACAUUUGCGUAAGGAUAGAUUUCCUGAUUUGCGCAAAUCAAAGUUAAUGCCACGUGCUGAUGGUCCCUUUAAGGUGUUAGAGAAAAUAAAUGAUAAUGCAUAUAAACUUGAGCUGCCUGCAGAUUUUGGGGUUAGUCCCACUUUUAACAUUGCAGAUUUGAAGCCUUAUUUGGGUGAGGAAGAUGAACUUCCGUCGAGGACGACUUCAUUUCAAGAAGGGGAGGAUGAUGAGGACAUCAAUACAAUUGUUACACCCACAGCCCCUGCUGCUAUACAUACUGGACCAAUUACUAGAGCUCGUGCACGCCAACUAAAUUACCAGGAAACAGACCCUCGUGGUCAGGUUGAUCGUGCUCCGGCGUGGUCAAUAACCUCUCGUAGUUGGUUUAGCGAUUGCUAA